Molecule: ribosomal RNA, 1659 nt
Filed under: Triticum aestivum (bread wheat)
Lineage: Eukaryota; Viridiplantae; Streptophyta; Magnoliopsida; Poales; Poaceae
Description: partial small subunit ribosomal RNA
Source: RNAcentral
AUGAUCAUGGCUGCUCUCUUCGUGCUCGGGUGCUUCCUGCUGCAGACCGUCCCGGCAGCACGGGCUCACGACGAGGCGCUCGCGUGGACGCCGGCCUCCCCCUUCCGCGACGAGCUCCGCGCCCUCGGCGUCGGAGCGCUCAUCCGCGACGACGCCGAGGCCACCGCGCUCGCGUCCACUGACUUCGGCAACGUGACGGUCGCGCCGGCGGCGGCCGUGCUCUAUCCAUCGUGCCCCGCCGACAUCGCCGCGCUGCUGCGCGCCUCGUGCGCGCGCUCGUCCCCGUUCCCGGUGUCCGCCCGGGGACGCGGCCACUCCGUCCGUGGCCAGGCGGCCGCGCUCGACGGCGUUGUCGUCGACAUGCCGUCGCUCGGACGCCUCGGCGGAGGCUCCAGCUCCACUGCGUCCCGCCUCUCCGUGUCGGUCGAAGGCCAGUACAUAGACGCCGGCGGCGAACAGCUGUGGGUGGACGUGCUGCGCGCCGCCCUGGCGCACGGCCUGACGCCGCGUUCGUGGACCGACUACCUCCACCUCACCGUCGGCGGGACGCUCUCCAACGCCGGCAUCAGCGGCCAGGCCUUCCGCUACGGCCCCCAGAUUUCUAACGUCCAAGAACUGGACGUCAUCACCGGGCUCGGAGAGAUGGUGACGUGUUCGAAGAAGAAGGACGCCGACCUGUUCGACGCCGUGCUGGGCGGGCUGGGGCAGUUCGGCGUCAUAACGCGGGCGCGCAUACCGCUGGUGCCAGCGCCGACGAGGGCGCGCUGGGUGCGGCUCCUCUACACGGGCGCCGCCGCACUCACCGGCGACCAGGAGCGGCUCAUAGACGUCGAGCGUGGCGACGCGCUGUCCGGGCUCAUGGACUACGUCGAGGGCACGGUCGUCGCGGACGAGGGCCUGAUCGGGAGCUGGCGCUCGCAGUCGCCGUCAUCGUCGUCUUCGUCCUUCUUCUCGGGCCCCGAUGCCGCGGCACGAUUCGCCAAGCUCGCCGAGGAGGCAGGUGGCGUCCUCUACUGUCUUGAGGGAGCGCUGUACUACGGCGGCGCAGCCGGCGGCGAGCGCGACGUCGAUAAGAGGCUGGAGACGCUGCUGCGCGAGCUGCGGUACGCGCGGGGCUUCGCGUCCGUGCAGGACGUGUCGUACGUGGAGUUCCUGGACCGCGUGCACGGCGGCGAGCUCAAGCUCCGUGCCGCCGGUCAGUGGGACGUGCCGCACCCCUGGCUCAACCUCUUCCUCCCGCGCUCCCGCGUCCUCGACUUCGCCGCCGGCGUCUUCCACGGCAUCCUCCGCCGCGGUACCACCGGCGCCAUGGGGCCCGUCCUCGUCUACCCCAUGAACCGGAACAGGUGGGACAGCGGCAUGUCGGCGGUGUUCCCAGAGGAGGAGGAGGUGUUCUACACAGUUGGGAUCCUCCGGUUGGCCGUGUCCGAGGGCGACCUCGGGCGGCUGGAGGAGCAGAACGACGAGAUCUUACGGUUCUGCGAGGAGGCCGGGAUAGCGUGCGUGCAGUACCUGUCGUACUACGCCGACCAGGCCGGGUGGGAGAAGAAGCACUUUGGUCCAGCCAAGUGGGCCAGGUUCGUGGAGCGGAAGAGGGAGUAUGACCCCAAGGCGAUCCUGUCCCGUGGUCAGAGAAUUUUCACGUCCCCGCUGGCUUGA